Molecule: long non-coding RNA, 2409 nt
Filed under: Cottoperca gobio
Lineage: Eukaryota; Metazoa; Chordata; Actinopteri; Perciformes; Bovichtidae
Description: lncRNA (ENSCGOG00000007539.1)
Source: RNAcentral
AAACAAAUACAUACGAUAGUCUUUCCAAUAUGGAUUAAUUUACCUGACACUAAUAACACGAAGCUAGAGGAUAAAGUUGAAGACUUGGAGGCAAGAUCCAGGUUAUCUAAUUUGAGAGUGGUGAACUUGCCAGAAGAUGCUGAAAGAGGGGAUGCUUGUGCUUUCCUUGAAAAAUGGAUCCCAGACGUGUUAGAUUUGGCACCGCUAAAUUCAAAGUUUAUACUGGAGAGAGCUCACAGAAUCGGCCAGAGGAGGGAUGCAAAUGCCCCACCAAGAACUUUGAUCAUGAAAUUCCUAAACUACAGGGACAGGAUGGUUGUAACGAAGGCAGCCAGGGCAAAAAAACAGGUCCUAUUUAAAGACCAGCAGGUGAGAUUUUAUCCAGACUUGGCUGCAGGAGUGCACAAGCGGCAGAAGAUGUUCGAUAAUGUCCGUCAGAAACUACGGAACCUGGGGAUUCGGUAUGGCAUGCUAUUGCCGGCUAGGCUUCUGGUGACCUACAAGGACAAGUCGCACACUUUUGAGAACCCGUCUGCUGUGGAGAACUUCAUCGAGCGGAUUGCAAGAGAGGAGGGACAGGCUGAAUAACGUAACCUGUGGCUGCGACCGGCUAAAGGGCUAAUAUGGGCUAACUAUGUGCAGUGUGAUGUGCCCAUCCACCUGCAACACAAGCAGACAGGAAGGAGAGUCUCUGCACGCCAGGCAGAGGGCGCAAGGAGACCUGCAGCCUGCAGACAGUGUCCCUGCUGCAGAGACAACCAGGUGAGACAUUUGAUUCUCAUCUUUGUUCUUUCAAAUUGUUAAAAGUAUGUUGUUUAGUAAGAGGUUUACUGGAGCCUGACAUCCUCUCAUGUGUUGCUGAUCUUCUCCAGGUGCCAGUUUUAAAGCAAAAGCGGCAGUGCUCUCCUGCUUCUGCAGACCUUCCCCAGAAGAGGAAGCGGACCACUGUGGCCCCCAGCCCCCAGACCCCCACUGCUGCACUGCACCUUGACGGACCUCUAAAGAUACAGAACCGCUCAGUGGAGGAGUACCAGCACCUCUACCAUGAAGCUGUGGAUCACAUGCUGAGGUUCAAGAGUGGUCGUCUGCAUCCGUACAGUUUACAUCUGGGUCGUCGUAUCAAGCAGAAGCUGUGGGAGAGACUGGCCCGUCCCACGUCCACACAAUCAGUGGAUGAAGACGGACUGGUGCUGGUGGACGUUUCCUACGGGGUUGCUGUCCAUCCUCCGCUUUAUUACCUGGAUGUUUCCGGAGAGCCAACUCCGCCUGUCAGCAACCUGCAGGCAUAGCCUCCACCUGCAGAUUCCUGCAAACAGCUUCAGCCAAACCUCCACCUACAGCCUAUGUCAGCAACCUGCAGGCAGUGCCUCCACCUGCAGUUUCUUGUAGACAGCUGCGGCAAAACAUCCACCCACAUAAUCCCCACCUGCCGAUUAAGGCAGACAGCUGAGACAAAACCUCCACCUACAGCCUCUGUCCUCAACCUGCAACCACCACCUCCACCUGCAGGUUCUAGCAGACAGCUGAGACAAAACCUCCACCUACAGCCUCUGUCAACAACCUGCAACCACCACCUCCACCUGCGGGUUCUGGCAGACAGCUGAGACAAGACCUCCACCUACAGCCUCUCCCGGCAAUUUGCACGGCCAGCUUCUGUCCUAUUGCCAUGUGGAGACCUCAGCGAGGAUCGGAGAUACACACACACACACACACUAUGAUCUUUCAGUUAACAUACAAACACAUUUAUAGCUGCCUGGGCAGAUAGUUUAAAGCUGCAUUUCUGUUUAUGUUCGGUUUACUUCUUCUCCAGACCCUGUUAGACUUCACAGACUUCAAGAUCUACCAGAAGAUGAUCAAGGGCCGUCAGGACACUUUCCUUCUACACGGGCUGUGUACCAGAGAUGCUUCUUCCUCCUCCCCAUCCUGCACCUUCACCACCAACUCCGACCCUCCCUAUCUCAGUUCCACCAGUAGUUUCUCACCAAGCAGAAUAAUGGAGGUCUGAAGAAUGCAGAGAUGCUCCACCUGAGACUUCAGUGCCUUACUUUUCCAGCCAUGCUCCCUAAAAAAAGACGACCAGUUUGCACUUUUACUGUUUACUUCUGAUCCUUUGCACUGUUCAAUAAAGUUCAUCAUUAUCUGCAGUCAUCAGUUCAGUCAUUUCAGUCCACAGGAAUUGGAAUUAUGAUAAGUCACCCUAAUGAAUGGUUUAUAGGAAUAAUUUAAUAUCUUAUAAAUGCUCAUGUCUCUCUCUCUCUCUCUCUCUCUCUCUCUCUCUCUCUCUCUCUCUCUCUCUCUCUCUCUCUCUCUCUCUCUCUCUCUCUCUCUCUCUCUCUCUCUCUCUCUUUUUAGUAAGUAUUAAUAAAGGGUCUUGAGUUUUUCACUUUCUAAUAAGCCAUCAGAAAAAGC